Molecule: ribosomal RNA, 438 nt
Filed under: uncultured bacterium
Lineage: Bacteria
Description: partial 16S ribosomal RNA
Rfam family: Bacterial small subunit ribosomal RNA
Source: RNAcentral
AACGAACGCUGGCGGCAGGCCUAACACAUGCAAGUCGAGCGCGCCCUUCGGGGUGAGCGGCGGACGGGUGAGUAACGCGUGGGAACGUGCCCUUUUCUACGGAAUAGCCUCGGGAAACUGAGAGUAAUACCGUAUACGCCCUUUGGGGGAAAGAUUUAUCGGAAAAGGAUCGGCCCGCGUUGGAUUAGGUAGUUGGUGGGGUAAUGGCCUACCAAGCCGACGAUCCAUAGCUGGUUUGAGAGGAUGAUCAGCCACACUGGGACUGAGACACGGCCCAGACUCCUACGGGAGGCAGCAGUGGGGAAUAUUGCACAAUGGGCGGAAGCCUGAUGCAGCGACGCCGCGUGGGGGAUGACGGCCUUCGGGUUGUAAACUCCUUUCACCAUCGACGAAGGUUUUCUGACGGUAGAUGGAGAAGAAGCACCGGCUAACUACGUG